This 503-nucleotide ribosomal RNA is filed under the name uncultured bacterium. RNAcentral describes it as "partial 16S ribosomal RNA". It matches the Rfam family "Bacterial small subunit ribosomal RNA", at positions 30 to 523 of the family's 1533-position model. The record is from RNAcentral.
AUUGAACGCUGGCGGCAGGCUUAACACAUGCAAGUCGAGCGGGGUGAUGGUGCUUGCACUAGCACUUAGCGGUGGACGGGGGAGUAAUGCCUAGGAAUCUGCCGAUUAGUGGGGGACAACAUCGCGAAAGGGAUGCUAAUACCGCAUACGUCCUACGAGAGAAAGCAGGGGAUCACUUGUGACCUUGCGCUAAUAGAUGAGCGUAAAACGGAUUAGCUAGUUGGUGGGGUAAAGGCCUACCAAGGCGGCGAUUUGUAGCGGGUCUGAGAGGAUGAUCGGCCACAGUGGGACUGGGACAAGGCCCAGACUCCGACGGGAGGCAGCAGUGGGGAAUAUUGGAGAAUGGGGGGAACCCUGAUCCAGCCAUGCCGCGUGUGUGAAGAAGGCCUUAUGGUUGUAAAGCACUUUAAGCGAGGAGGAGGCUCUUUUGGUUAAUACCCAAGAUAAGUGGACGUUACUCGCAGAAUAAGCACCGGCUAACUCUGUGCCAGCCGCCGCGGUAA